UUCUGCCCCACCUCUGCUUAGGUACAACCCACCAGCGACUGCACGCGAUAGAGGCUGCCAUGGCUGAAUCCCACCCCUCCCUUGAUGUGCCAACGAUGGAGCCAUAUAUAUGGGACCCAAGCUCCAUUGCACACACUCUCAGCCUAAGCCCGUAGCACACUCCAGCCCCCCAGGCUGCCUCCAUGCAGCCAACCCCAGUUCCUUCCCCAGGUCCGUGCUCUGAAGUCCGAGCUCCAGCACCCAGCCUCAGCACGUAUCAGGUGGUGACCACACAGAUCCUCUGCACCUGUUUCUCUCCAUUCUGUUUGUGGCUGCCGGAUUCUCCUCCGAACCUCUGAAGCUCCCCUUCUGUCCCAGCUGCCCUUCCUGCUGGAGAGGAUACUUUUCCUCUUUCACUGCUCCUUCCCAGGGCUCACGUCGCAUCCUGAUUUCUUUUUUCCUUCUACUCUCGUUUUCGUGAUGAUCUUUCCUGUAGCUUCACUUGUACACUAUCUUCUGCCAGAGCUCAGCAGGUAUUCUGUGAGAAUUGUUCCACAUGUAGAUAUAUUUCUGAUGUAUUUGUCAGAGAGGGUGAGCUCCGAACACUAAGCAUACA
Molecule: non-coding RNA, 595 nt
Organism: Vicugna pacos (alpaca)
Lineage: Eukaryota; Metazoa; Chordata; Mammalia; Artiodactyla; Camelidae
Source: RefSeq, a predicted model, not a curated record